Molecule: transfer RNA, 65 nt
Filed under: Dipodomys ordii (Ord's kangaroo rat)
Lineage: Eukaryota; Metazoa; Chordata; Mammalia; Rodentia; Heteromyidae
Rfam family: tRNA
About the family: Transfer RNA (tRNA) molecules are approximately 80 nucleotides in length. Their secondary structure includes four short double-helical elements and three loops (D, anti-codon, and T loops).
Source: Rfam by way of RNAcentral
GGUGGCUCAGUGGUAGAGUGUUUGCCUUGCAUGCAUAAGGCCCUGGGUUCGAUUCCUCAGUACUA